GACGAACGCUGGCGGCGUGCUUAACACAUGCAAGUCGAACGGUAAGGCCCUUCGGGGUACACGAGUGGCGAACGGGUGAGUAACACGUGGGUGAUCUGCCCUGCACUUCGGGAUAAGCCUGGGAAACUGGGUCUAAUACCGGAUAGGACUCCGGACUGCAUGGUCUGGGGUGGAAAGCUUUUGCGGUGUGGGAGGGGCCCGCGGCCUAUCAGCUUGUUGGUGGGGUGAUGGCCUACCAAGGCGACGACGGGUAGCCGGCCUGGGAGGGUGACCGGCCACACUGGGACUGAGAUACGGCCCAGACUCCUACGGGAGGCAGCAGUAGGGAAUAUUGCACAAUGGGCGCAAGCCUGAUGCAGCGACGCCGCGUGAGGGAUGACGGCCUUCGGGUUGUAAACCUCUUUCAGCACCGACGAAGCGCAAGUGACGGUAGGUGCAGAAGAAGGACCGGCCAACUACGUGCCAGCCGCCGCAGUAA
RNAcentral lists this ribosomal RNA (478 nucleotides) under uncultured bacterium. RNAcentral describes it as "partial 16S ribosomal RNA". It matches the Rfam family "Bacterial small subunit ribosomal RNA", at positions 28 to 523 of the family's 1533-position model. The record is from RNAcentral.